This 297-nucleotide long non-coding RNA is filed under the name Elaeis guineensis (African oil palm). RNAcentral describes it as "long non-coding RNA (EGUI_LNC062333)". The record is from RNAcentral. Lineage: Eukaryota; Viridiplantae; Streptophyta; Magnoliopsida; Arecales; Arecaceae.
GAUAGUCCUGUUGAGCACUCCUUUAAGAACAAGGGUACUGCGAAGACACAGCCCCUUCCACUAGCACCAAUUCUGUUGGUGUAGAAUUCUGCCGAUGCUGGAGAAGCUGGAGUUUAGAUGACCGCGACCGCUGUUGGGACCUACAAGGAAAGUCUAAACUGGAGUUGGGGGUGCUCCGGCAAGACCCUCCGAUGCUCAAGUCAGUACUCUGCUUCAACAGAAAUGGAGUGCUCAAAUGAAAUUUUGACAGAGUUUCGAGAUAGAGUUUUUAGCUUAGAGAAGAACGUAUCUGAGGGG